This is a long non-coding RNA of Maniola jurtina (meadow brown), 146 nucleotides long. RefSeq lists it as uncharacterized. Lineage: Eukaryota; Metazoa; Arthropoda; Insecta; Lepidoptera; Nymphalidae. The transcript has 3 exons. The record is from RefSeq and is a predicted model, not a curated record.
GAUUAAACUAAAUAAAGCACGCCUAAUUAUUGUGACGUCACAUGCUAGUAUUUCAUAGAAGCUCGCGUACUAAAUGCGUGUUUUGACGUUUGAUAAAAAUAUACUGACUUGAGUAGUUGUCAAACACCAGAUUCACGAGCGAGCGU